AUAACUGGUGAUAAUAGAUCACAAAAUCUUAACGAUACUCAAUUUGAUGGUUGGGACUAUAUUUCACUCACCAUUCUAAAUUUAGAUGGAUGUACCAUGAUAGUCCCUCAACUUCAAUUUGCAUUACAAAAAUUCCUAAAUUUCAAUUUAAUACAUAACAGUUUUUGGUACAAAAUGUAUAAAGCAAUUAAUAUAUAAAUUGAAGUUAAAAGAAUUUUGGUGAUACAAAUUAAACUUGAGAGAUGGUCAUUGUACACCUAUCUGAGUUGAGGGACUAUAAGUGGAAUUUAGUUAUAAGUUAACCUGUAAACUGGUGAUAUUAGAUCACAAGGAUUUUAAUAAUACUCAAAUUGAACUUGGGAAUAUUUAUGUUUGAAAUUAAAGUUGAGCAAAAAUGCUAAUACAACUAUUAACUUAAAGGAUGGUAGGUGAAAUUUACCACAUGAUCCUGCCAUGUUACUCAUAAAUGGUUCAAUGUUUCUAGAUUGUCUAUUCAGCAUCAAUUGUAUAGAUAGCACUGUAAAUUGAUGAAUAAGGAGAAUCAAAAGUUUACUGUUGGAAUUCCUUAAUUAGUGCA
This 577-nucleotide unclassified non-coding RNA is filed under the name Hevea brasiliensis (rubber tree). The record is from RNAcentral. Lineage: Eukaryota; Viridiplantae; Streptophyta; Magnoliopsida; Malpighiales; Euphorbiaceae.